RNAcentral lists this small RNA (482 nucleotides) under Pongo abelii (Sumatran orangutan). Its description in RNAcentral is "processed transcript". The record is from RNAcentral. Lineage: Eukaryota; Metazoa; Chordata; Mammalia; Primates; Hominidae.
UGCAGACGGACCAGCCCAUUUACAACCCUGGCCAGCGAGUUCGGUACCGGGUCUUUGCUCUGGAUCAAAAGAUGCGCCCGAGCACUGACACCAUCACAGUCACGGUGGAGGUGAGUCCCCGACCUCUGGCUUCCUGAUCCUGGCCACUGACGUGACCUCCUGCCUGUGACCACUUCUCCCCUUGCAGAACUCUCACGGCCUCCGCGUGCGGAAGAAGGAGGUGUACAUACCCUCGUCCAUCUUCCAGGAUGACUUUGUGAUCCCAGACAUCUCAGAGCCAGGGACCUGGAAGAUCUCAGCCCGAUUCUCAGAUGGCCUGGAAUCCAACAGCAGCACCCAGUUUGAGGUGAAGAAAUACGCUGGUGAAUGGACAGAGCCACAUUGUCCUCUCAAAGGCAGAGUUCCAGGACGCCCUGGAGAAGCUGAAUAUGAGCAUUACUGACCUCCAGGGGCUGCGCCUCUACGUUGCUGCAGCCAUCAUU